RNAcentral lists this ribosomal RNA (696 nucleotides) under uncultured organism. RNAcentral describes it as "bacterial SSU rRNA". It matches the Rfam family "Bacterial small subunit ribosomal RNA", at positions 690 to 1387 of the family's 1533-position model. The record is from RNAcentral.
GUAAAUAUCAAGGAGGAACUUUGGUGGGGAAGGCGACCGUCUAGUCCGGUACUGACGCUGAGGCACGAAAGCUAGGGGAGCGAACAGGAGUAGAUACCGUGGUAGUCCUCGCCGUUAACGAUGGGCAUUAGGUGUCGGAGGAGUGUACCCCUUCGGUACAGCAGGUAAUGCAUUAAGUGCCCCACGUGGGGAGUACGAUAGCAAGGUUGAUACUCAAAGGAAUUGACGGGGGGCUGCACAAGCGGUGGAGCAUGUGGUUUAAUUCGAUGCAACGAGAAGAACCUUACGUGGGCUUGUCACGCAGGGGACAGGUGCAGAAAUGUACCCUUCUUCGGACCCCUGUGCAGGUGGUGCAUGGCCGUCGUCAGUUUGUGUCGUGAAAUGUUGGGUUAAGCCCCGCAACGAUCACAACCCCUGUGUUCAGUUGCCUUCAGUUUGGUUGGGGAUUUUGGAGAGACUGCCGGUGACAAACCGGAGGAAGGGGGGGACGACGGCAAGUCAUCAUGGCCCUUACGCCCCUGGCUACCCCCCUGUUACAAUUGUCGGUACAAAGGGCAGCACUACCCUGAGAGGGGAGGAAUCCCAAAAACCCCGCUUCAGUUCGGAUUGGAGUGUGCAACUCGACUUCAUGAAGUUGGAAUUGGUGGUUAUCGGCUGUUAGCAUGACGCGGUGAAUACGUUUCCGGGCCCGGUACA